RNA transcript from Cynocephalus volans (Philippine flying lemur), 758 nucleotides. It is a transcript of the gene named single stranded DNA binding protein 1, with no coding region annotated. NCBI's taxonomy places the organism in Eukaryota, Metazoa, Chordata, Mammalia, Dermoptera, Cynocephalidae. The transcript is spliced from 8 exons. The record is from RefSeq and is a predicted model, not a curated record.
GGCUGGCUGAGGGAGACCGACGGGGAGGGUGGGGAGGAGGGCUCUCGUCGUGCGUUGGUUCUGCGUGGCGGCCUGCGUGUGUCGGGAGGUGGUGCUGGGAAAAGCCUAAAGAUUAGAUUGUAAGAAAAGAAAAUAGAAGACAUGUUUCGAAGACCUGUAUUACAGGUAUUUCAUCAGUUUGUAAGACAUGAGUCUGAAGUAACUAGCAGUUUGGUUCUUGAAAGAUCUCUGAAUCGUGUGCAGUUACUUGGGCGAGUGGGUCAAGACCCUGUCAUGAGACAGGUAGAAGGGAAAAAUCCAGUCACAAUAUUUUCUCUAGCAACAAAUGAGAUGUGGCGAUCAGGGGAUAGUGAAGUACACCAAAUGGGUGAUGUCAGUCAAAAGACAACAUGGCACAGAAUAUCAGUAUUUCGUCCAGGCCUCAGAGAUGUGGCCUAUCAGUAUGUGAAAAAGGGGUCUCGAGUUUAUGUGGAAGGGAAGGUAGACUAUGGUGAAUACAUGGAUAAAAAUAAUGUGAGGCGACAAGCAACAACAAUUAUAGCUGAGUUCACGUCUUAAUCAUUGUACCAUAUUGAUAAUUAUAAUUUGUUGUGAAUAAUAAUCUCAUUUCCUUACUGAUAACAUUAUAUUUCUGAGUGACCAGACAAAAGAGAAGGUGUAGACUGGAUGAUUCUUCUUUGGCCACUGUUUGGUAUAGUCUUAUUUCCAAAAUCAUGUAUAGUCUUUAGUUUCUAAUUAAAAUGCUCUUUUAUAUAAAA